Molecule: long non-coding RNA, 744 nt
Filed under: Helianthus annuus (common sunflower)
Lineage: Eukaryota; Viridiplantae; Streptophyta; Magnoliopsida; Asterales; Asteraceae
Source: RNAcentral
CAAAUUGCGUCUCCAGGUUUCCCUUUGACGAUUUCUUUGAUCUGGUCGUCCAAUUGGCGCUCUUUUUUCUCCGAUAGUCUAUUUGUGUUCCGGUGGUAGCCUACGGUGGUUUUGGCCACUGCUUCUUCUGCGCUUUCGUUUGUUCAGGUUAGUGAUGUGGCUUCUACAGAACUCUUGUACUUUAUUUCCCCUAUGCUAAGCCAAGAAAAACAAAUCUUAACAGUAAGCGUAAAGUAAAACAAGUGGUGUUGCAUCUCUUUGGUUGCUUAGAGAAGAAGAAGAAGCAAAGAUCGAAGGUCAAACCAGGGACUACUUUGAUGGGCUAGCGCCAAAGUGUCACAUUGAAUAAAACUCCGAGGUAAUAGUGUGACUGAUGAGUUUGUAGAGACCAAGAUUACAAAUAUCUUAACGGCAUCGACAAGCAACAUCACACCGUAAAGAAAACGUUGAAUGACUUCCUUCAACAUUAUUGCAGUAUAUUGUAGUUGACUCUUGGAUAUCUAUAAUACUAUAAAAAGGAGAAGUGAUGUACGUAAAUGUAAUUUUACAUUGCAUCCAACUCUUAAAGCAAUAUGUACAAUUAAUAAAAGCUUGUUUUGUAAGGCUAAAAUUGUAAAGAGGCGAAUAUCUUAAGACGCUGCGAGAGUAUAAAAGUAAAUUCAAGGAACAGCCAUACUCACAUGCUCAAAUUCCUUUCCAUCGCUGCCCUUAAAGAAACCUAAUCGACAUUCCUCUGAAUCAAAC